This is an RNA transcript of Chenopodium quinoa (quinoa), 1682 nucleotides long. It is a transcript of the gene named mitochondrial inner membrane protease subunit 1-like, with no coding region annotated. Lineage: Eukaryota; Viridiplantae; Streptophyta; Magnoliopsida; Caryophyllales; Amaranthaceae. The transcript has 7 exons. The record is from RefSeq and is a predicted model, not a curated record.
UUUCUAAGCACUCCAUAAGCAUAUACCAGUAAAUAAAUACCACUAUAAGUCUGCAACAAAGAAACCAUGAUCCCAUUCUCAUCUCUGUUUCUCUCUCUCUUUAUCUACACAAAUUUCAUUUGCUGAAUUCAUUGCAAAUUUUAGGGUUGUGAUUUUAGAAAGAGGCAAAAAAAUUUGUGGGGUUUUUGAAUACAAUGCGGCAACUAUGGAGGUUGAAGCUCUGUUGGGAUUAUCUGGGUCAAAAAUGCGAUUUUGCUGCCUUGAUCACUAUGCAGAAACGUAAUGCAGGUCAACUUUUGCGUGGAGAUGUCUUAAACACUUAUUUAAAGAAUGCAGUCGCUGAGAAGAUGACUUUUUUCUGUCAGAGCAAGGGUUCAGAGAUGGAGCCCACUAUUUCUGCUAACGAGACUCUCUUUGUUCGGAAACUCCCUUAUCUGAAUGCAAGGGUACGGGGAAAUCCACAGAAUAUACAUGUGGGUGAUGUAGUUGUUUUAAAGGAUCCUUUGAACUCAAAUAACUAUGUGGUGAGAAGACUGGCUGCUGUCAGCGGAUAUGAAAUGGUCUCCAAUAACAAGGACGAUGAGCCUUUUGUUUUAAAAGAUGGGCAGUGCUGGGUCCUUUCUGACAACAAAAAUCUGAAGCCAGAGGAAAGUAAUGAUAGUCGUACAUACGGACCAAUCUCCAUAAAUAACAUUGUGGGUAGAGUCAUCUACAGGUUUCAAACUGCCAAAGUUCACAAUGUUGUGGUGAACAGUGCGUACAGUUUGCAGAAUGACCGUUCAGUCCUCUUCGUAGAACUAGAUCCUGCUGAAGUGCAACUCAAUAAUGAUAAAAAUAGUAAGGACUCUCAAACAUGAGAGUACUAGAUACAGAACUACAGGUUUGCAGCAUAAGGAGUUCAUCUGACUUUGACGAGAUAGGGAUGAUACAAAGGCAGCUAGAGUAAACGACUCCGAUUUAACUGAAUGUUUUAGCAGCGAGAUUCAGUUUAGUAUUAGUUUUAGCAUCUUUAAGCAUUGGCUGCUGAUCUGGUUGUUUAAAUUUCAGCUUUAGCAAAGACACAUUGGCUACAAUGACAUCAUAACCAAAUGUGCAUAGUGGUAGAUGCGAAAAUUUCAUCAUGGCCCGUUAUUCAGCAAAAAAUUGUACUUUAUAUAGCAACAUAGGCUGAGGAUUGGUGGCGAGAAAACAGGGAGAGUAUUUAUCGAGAGUUUAUUCCUGCACCACCAAAUAGUGUAAAACCAUCAUCUCGUACUUCAUUGCCAACGGCUGCCACUUUAGGUCUACCGCCACCCAAUGAAGAAGUUUGCAAUGCCAACAAUGCAGCCCCUUCAGGAAUAUAACAUGUUCGUAAAUCUCUUGUUUGAUGUCAUCGAAGUCGGGUAGCGUUGUAGAAAAUUAUCUUAGGUAGAUGAGAAUUGGAGUAUGUAUUUGAAGAAAUUUUGGUCCAGAAACACUUUACUACUCCGUAGACCGUAGUAGCCAAGCAUUCUUUUAUUCAAUUUGAACCUUAGAGUUUACAAGUAGAUAUCUUGUAUUCCUCUCAUGUAUUUCGUAUGUUGGUUAUAUUUAUAGUUGUACAAACGGUGAGAAUAUUUCAGAAGUAAUAAAAUCAUUAGGUUACAAUUUUCAUCUUUUAUUGAUGAACCACUUGCCCGUUCACUUGUGAAUUUUUGUUUGAA